Molecule: RNase P RNA, 356 nt
Filed under: Clostridiaceae bacterium
Lineage: Bacteria; Bacillati; Bacillota; Clostridia; Eubacteriales; Clostridiaceae
Description: RNase P RNA component class A
Rfam family: Bacterial RNase P class A
About the family: Ribonuclease P (RNase P) is a ubiquitous endoribonuclease, found in archaea, bacteria and eukarya as well as chloroplasts and mitochondria. Its best characterised activity is the generation of mature 5'-ends of tRNAs by cleaving the 5'-leader elements of precursor-tRNAs.
Source: RNAcentral
CGAGUAAGCUGGGCGAUCGCGGGCGCAGUGCCGAAAGGCCGCGUACGAGGAAAGUCCGGGCUCCGCAGGACAAGGGUGCCGGGUAACUCCCGGUGAAGGCGACUUUAAGGAUAGUGCAACAGAAAGUAAACCGCCGUGAAGUUUUCGGACAUCGCGGUAAGGGUGAAACGGCGGGGUAAGAGCCCACCGGCGGAAUGGAGACAUUUCGGCCAUGUAAACCCCACCCGGAGCAACGCCGAGGAGAGACACUACUGUUGUCCGCAGGUCUCAUGGAGGCGGCUUGAACCGUUCGGAAACGUUCGGUCUAGACAGAUGAUCGCUCAAGACAGAACCCGGCUUACAGGCUUACUCGGGAA